ACUGAACGCUGGCGGCAUGCUUUACACAUGCAAGUCGAGCGGCAGCGCGGGGGCAACCCUGGCGGCGAGCGGCGAACGGGUGAGUAAUGCAUCGGAACGUGUCCCGUAGUGGGGGAUAACGCCGGGAAACCGGCGCUAAUACCGCAUAUGCUCUACGGAGGAAAGGGGGGGACCCGCAAGGGCCUCCCGCUAUGGGAGCGGCCGAUGUCCGAUUAGCUUGUUGGUGAGGUAAAGGCUUACCAAGGCGACGAUCGGUAGCUGGUCUGAGAGGAUGAUCAGCCACACUGGGACUGAGACACGGCCCAGACUCCUACGGGAGGAAGCAGUGGGGAAUUUUGGACAAUGGGGGCAACCCUGAUCCAGCCAUGCCGCGUGCGGGAAGAAGGCCUUCGGGUUGUAAACCGCUUUUGUCCGGAAAGAAAAGGCAUUCCCUAAUACGGGGUGUUCUUGACGGUACCGGAAGAAUAAGCACCGGCUAACUACGUGCCAGCCGCCGCCGUAA
This 502-nucleotide ribosomal RNA is filed under the name uncultured bacterium. RNAcentral describes it as "partial 16S ribosomal RNA". It matches the Rfam family "Bacterial small subunit ribosomal RNA", at positions 30 to 523 of the family's 1533-position model. The record is from RNAcentral.